RNAcentral lists this ribosomal RNA (449 nucleotides) under uncultured bacterium. RNAcentral describes it as "partial 16S ribosomal RNA". It matches the Rfam family "Bacterial small subunit ribosomal RNA", at positions 29 to 523 of the family's 1533-position model. The record is from RNAcentral.
UACGAACGCUGGCGGCAGGCUUAACACAUGCAAGUCGAGCGCAUCCUUCGGGGCGAGCGGCAGACGGGUGAGUAACGCGUGGGAACGUACCCUUUCCUACGGAAUAGCUCCGGGAAACUGGAAUUAAUACCGUAUACGCCCUUAGGGGGAAAGAUUUAUCGGGGAAGGAUCGGCCCGCGUUGGAUUAGCUAGUUGGUGGGGUAAAGGCCUACCAAGGCGACGAUCCAUAGCUGGUCUGAGAGGAUGAUCAGCCACAUUGGGACUGAGACACGGCCCAAACUCCUACGGGAGGCAGCAGUGGGGAAUAUUGGACAAUGGGCGCAAGCCUGAUCCAGCCAUGCCGCGUGAGUGAUGAAGGCCUUAGGGUUGUAAAGCUCUUUCAGUAGGGAAGAUAAUGACGGUACCUACAGAAGAAGCCCCGGCUAACUUCGUGCCAGCAGCCGCAGUAA